Molecule: ribosomal RNA, 155 nt
Filed under: Calditrichota bacterium
Lineage: Bacteria; Pseudomonadati; Calditrichota
Description: Calditrichaeota bacterium (activated sludge metagenome) partial 23S ribosomal RNA
Rfam family: Bacterial large subunit ribosomal RNA
Source: RNAcentral
AGCAUCUAAGCACGAAACCCUGCCCAAGAUGAAGUAUCCCUUGUUCGUAAGAACACUAAAGGUGCCUUCGAGAUGAGAAGGUCGAUAGGCGGUAGGUGUAAGCAUAGCAAUAUGUUCAGCCGAACCGUUACUAAUCCACCGUGAGGCUUGACUUA